AAAAAGCUCGUAGUUGGAUUUCUGCGGGGGCGGGGCGCCGAUGCUUAUAGCUCUCAGCUGGUACUUCCCCCGCAUCCUGCCGCGAACCGUGCUACCAUUAGUUUGGUGGCGCUGGGGAUCGGCUCGUUUACUUUGAGAAAAAUAGAGUGUUCAAAGCAGGCCACACGCCUUGAAUAAGUUAGCAUGGAAUAAUGAUAAAGGACUUCGGUUCUAUUUUGUUGGUGUUCGGGACUGAAGUAAUGAUUGAUAGGGACAGUUGGGGCGGUCAGUAUUCCAAAGCGAGAGGUGAAAUUCUUAGACCUUCGGAAGACUAACAGCUGCGAAAGCGUUCCGCAAGGAUGUUCCCUUAGAUCAAGAACGAAAGUUGGGGGAUCGAAGACGAUCAGAUACCGUCGUAGUCUCAACUAUAAACUAUACCAGCUAGGGAUCGGCCGACGUUUACUUAUAUC
This 449-nucleotide ribosomal RNA is filed under the name uncultured marine eukaryote. RNAcentral describes it as "bacterial SSU rRNA". It matches the Rfam family "Eukaryotic small subunit ribosomal RNA", at positions 621 to 1075 of the family's 1831-position model. The record is from RNAcentral.